RNAcentral lists this unclassified non-coding RNA (273 nucleotides) under Gigasporaceae sp. RNAcentral describes it as "partial contains 5.8S ribosomal RNA and internal transcribed spacer 2". The stretch from base 1 to 71 matches the Rfam family "5.8S ribosomal RNA", at positions 84 to 154 of the family's 154-position model. The record is from RNAcentral. Lineage: Eukaryota; Fungi; Glomeromycota; Glomeromycetes; Diversisporales; Gigasporaceae.
GUUAAUCAUCAAAUCUUUGAACGCAAAUUGCACUUCUUGGUAUUCCGAGGAGUACACGUGCUUGAGUGUCAGUUGAAAAAAAAUCGUACAGCUUUGUUGUUGCGAAUCUGGUUAUGCCGUUUUUAUAAUUUGGUUACCUAAAAUUAAUAUGGUUAUGUAAUGUUAAUCGUACUAAUUAUAUAGACGCUAAUCAUUUAUUCUUAUUACAUUACAACUUAACGAAAGUAUUUAGUUGGUGUAUAAAUUAUGAGACUGAACUCAAUUCAUGUAAGA